UUCCGGUUGAUCCUGCCGGACCCGACUGCUAUCAGAGUGGGAUUAAGCCAUGCGAGUCAACGUAGUAAUACGUGGCAUACGGCUCAGUAACACGUAGUCAACAUGCCCAGAAGACGUGGAUAACCUCGGGAAACUGAGGAUAAACCGCGAUAGAUCAUAAUAUCUGGAAUGAUUUAUGGUCCAAAUCUAUAUGGCUUCUGGAUUGGACUGCGGCCGAUCAGGCUGUUGGUGAGGUAAUGGCCCACCAAACCUAAAACCGGUACGGGCUCUGAGAGGAGAAGCCCGGAGAUGGGCACUGAGACAAGGGCCCAGGUCCUAUGGGGCGCAGCAGGCGCGAAAUCUCUGCAAUAGGCGAAAGCCUGACAGGGUUACUCUGAGUGAUUUCCGUUAAGGAUAUCUUUUAACACCUUUACAAAUGGUGUGGAAUAAGGGGUGGGCAAGCCUGGUGUCAGCCGCCGCGGUAAUACCAGCACCCCGAGUGGUCGGGACGAUUAUUGGGCCUAAAGCAUCCGUAGCCGGUCCUGCAAGUCUUCCGUUAAAUCCACCUGCUUAACAGAUGGGCUGCGGAGGAUACUACAUGACUAGGAGGCGGGAGAGGCAAGCGGUACUUAAUGGGUAGGGGUAAAAUCCGUUGAUCCAUUGAGACCACCA
Molecule: ribosomal RNA, 651 nt
Filed under: uncultured archaeon
Lineage: Archaea
Description: bacterial SSU rRNA
Rfam family: Archaeal small subunit ribosomal RNA
Source: RNAcentral